CUAUGAAAAUAAGGUUGAUAAACCAGUAAAGAAGUCUUUCCUUAAAUGGUCACAAUCUGCCAAGAGCAGAUAAGGAAAAGGAUCCUAUGGGUAUAAUGACAAGAAACUUAGAGCCAUCAACCCCAUGUCAGCACUGGGCUAGAAAACAAAUAGAUUUCCAGACAAUUCAGAACAAGUACUACGAAUCAGAGGCAAUCCCCAAACCUCCUCUCAAUCUCACACUUUUGAAAGACAACUAAGGAGCAGGAAGGACAUUGGGCAAUUCCACACUAAUGGUUACACUGUGACCCUUCUUUUGUCUUCUCUUGAUCCCACAUUCAAUUUGUCUUCAGUAAAAGGUUUUCUCUAUGGAGCAUAUCAUUUCAUCUCCAACAUAAAAUACUCAAGAAGAGACUGAAGUAGAGCAAGGAGACGUGAGGAACGGUGAACCGAGGGGAAAAAGAAGCGCGCAUGAGACUUGAGAGCUGAGAGCCGCAGAGCCAGUUGGUGAGAUCGCGAGAUGGCAAUAUCACGAGAAAGUGCGCCUGCACUGUGUAGAACCCUGCGUGGUAGCGCUGUCUCGCGAGAAAGCGCGCCGGCUUGGUAGAAAACUUGCAAGCCAGCCUGAGGGAGAGAGAUGAAGGAGAGGGAGAGAGCUCGCUCGCGAGGGAGAGUGUCAACUAAGGAUACUCCACUGACUAUUUUGGAGUUCAUUGGCUUUACCUGGAGGAGUAGAGAUGCCUGAGAAUUCCCAACAGAGACUGAAACUAAGAAGCGCUAAACCAGAAAUCUAGUAGGUAAGUGAAACAAGAACUAAAACUAUGGAUUCUUGUGUCUUUAUAACUAAAUGCUAAAGGUGUUAAUGUUAGAAAUGUUGAUGUUCAGAGGGCUGCAUCAACCUCAUCCUCUCUGAAAUAGGAGUUUAUCAUAUGUAAAAACAUACAAGAGCUGAGAAGUUCUUUGACUUUAACAAACUUUAAGCUUUCUGAAAAAGGGAAAAGAAAGCAGAUUGCA
This is a long non-coding RNA of Bubalus bubalis (water buffalo), 993 nucleotides long. RefSeq lists it as uncharacterized. NCBI's taxonomy places the organism in Eukaryota, Metazoa, Chordata, Mammalia, Artiodactyla, Bovidae. The transcript is spliced from 3 exons. The record is from RefSeq and is a predicted model, not a curated record.